Non-coding RNA from Paramuricea clavata, 697 nucleotides. Lineage: Eukaryota; Metazoa; Cnidaria; Anthozoa; Malacalcyonacea; Plexauridae. The record is from the annotation of a GenBank genome assembly.
CUGGCCGACACACACCGGGGUGACACCGGGGGUAAUUUGGUAGCACUGUCACCCUUUGCCUUUGUAAGCGAAGUUGACGAUUUCAGCCCUUUUACCGUCGGUUUUAAAUCUGUUCGUAUUCUGGACAUUACGAUUUACUAAUACAUGAAAACACCAGCUUUCGCUCGCAAAAGAUACAUCCCAUAUUCGCCGCGAAAAACUCAUAAAAGCCAAGUCAAAAUUUAAUAGCACGCACUCCGCACGGAAGAGUAUUGAAACACAGUAUAAAAAAUCACGUUUUCGUUCAUAACAUCUUUUCCAAUUUGUAAACGUUUGCCCGUAGUUUAUCCAUGAUAAAUAAAAGAGUAUUAAAAAUAGCAAUCGACACGUAUUUUAAUAAAAUGUGAUUGUUUACACAAUUAAUUUGCAAAUAGUUUUGGAAAUGAAAUUUUUUGAAUUUAAAUAAUUUCAGUGUGCACGAAAGAAUGUGCACGGAAGAAUGAAAUUGAACACGAAAUAUCACGCACGCACGAAACUAUUUACCGUCGUUUGCAUCUACUGAUGAUCAGUCGCAAAUUCUAACCUCGCAUGCUCUUCAAUGUUUGUAAUAAUGAGCAUUUGAAGAUUUCAGUUAGCAAGCCAAUCGAUUUGAGGGUCAAGUGACGGCUAGUUAAAUUGGUGAUAAGCUGGUACACGCGUCAAAUAUUAUAGAUCGUCA